Molecule: microRNA precursor, 78 nt
Filed under: Schistosoma margrebowiei
Lineage: Eukaryota; Metazoa; Platyhelminthes; Trematoda; Strigeidida; Schistosomatidae
Description: mir-3492 microRNA precursor family
Rfam family: mir-3492 microRNA precursor family
Source: Rfam by way of RNAcentral
AGCCUCCUGAAUCCGUUCCGAGAUUCCGUCAGACACUUGGCCGUCAGGACUGACGGGACUCCUAAGGACAGUGGAACG